GCUUAAUUUGACCCAACGCAGGAAAACUUACCAGGUCCGUACAUAGGGAGGAUUGACAGAUUGAUAGCUCUUUCUUGAUUCUAUGGGAGGUGGUGCAUGGCCGUUUCUAGUUCGUGAGUUGACUUGUCAGGUUAAUUCCGGUAACGAGCGAGACCUCAACUCCUAGCGAGCUCAGUACGUUGAAUAUCCGGUGUAGACUUGGGUACAACCAAGAUCCACGAAGGGAGUAGCUUGGUGAAGGCAAUCCGGGUAUGGGCCAGGACCGAGCAUUACGAAAUGAGCAUCCUAGGAGGACGCUUGGUGGGAAACCAAGGGAGGCAUGAGGCGAUAGCAGGUCUGUGAUGCCCUUAGAUGUGCUGGGCCGCACGCGUGUUACACUG
RNAcentral lists this ribosomal RNA (380 nucleotides) under Bigelowiella natans. RNAcentral describes it as "partial Eukaryotic small subunit ribosomal RNA". It matches the Rfam family "Eukaryotic small subunit ribosomal RNA", at positions 1188 to 1505 of the family's 1831-position model. Lineage: Eukaryota; Cercozoa; Chlorarachniophyceae. The record is from RNAcentral.